RNAcentral lists this ribosomal RNA (252 nucleotides) under uncultured bacterium. RNAcentral's name for it is "partial 16S ribosomal RNA". It matches the Rfam family "Bacterial small subunit ribosomal RNA", at positions 524 to 777 of the family's 1533-position model. The record is from RNAcentral.
GACGAACCGUGCAAACGUUAUUCGGAAUCACUGGGCUUAAAGGGCGCGUAGGCGGGCCGCCAGGUCCGGGGUGAAAGCCUCCAGCUCAACUGGAGAAGUGCCUUGGAUACCGGCGGCCUCGAGGGAGGUAGGGCGUGCGGAACUUCGGGUGGAGCGGUGAAAUGCGUAGAUAUCCGAAGGAACACCGGUGGCGAAAGCGGCGCGCUGGAUCUCUUCUGACGCUGAGGCGCGAAAGCCAGGGAGCAAAGCGGG